This 7319-nucleotide long non-coding RNA is filed under the name Pelobates cultripes (western spadefoot toad). Lineage: Eukaryota; Metazoa; Chordata; Amphibia; Anura; Pelobatidae. The record is from RNAcentral.
GAGUGAUGCUUUGAAAAAUGCUGGCACUGUAGAUAUGGAGCUUGGGAAACCAUUUCCAGAGAAAAUUCACAGCAUGAAUGCUUACCUAGGGUGAGUAAAUAUGUGGCCCGCAGUUAUUCCUGAUUGUGAGAGUUUGUUUGUGAGUAGUAAAGUAGUAAUAGGACUGUUUUUAUUUAUUUUUUUCUUCAUUAAAUUGUUGGUAUCUUGUCAAUGCAAUGCUGAAGAAUGUAAAAGGACGCUGUAGGCACUGUAACUUCUUUAUCUAAUUGAAGUGUUUAUAAUGACUGGAGUACCUUGACACUGUUCUUCAACAAACUGUUUUUAUAGGGUUAUUUACAAAAGUGAGAAUUCAAAGUGAAUUGUAAAUUAUAAGUCAGAAUAGUCAAACUUGGAAAAUGUUCUCAGUUUGCUAAGCUUUCAGUACGGCUACUCUGGCCUUAAAUUUGAAAUUAACUUUGAAGUUAACUGUUUGUAGAAUAUUCUACAUUUUGGGGAUUUUUUUUAUUACAUGCCUCUUACAUUUAGGCAUGGGUGGUCUCGGGUGACAUGAACAGAAGAUAGUAAGUCGUGUAAGAACUUGAAGUUUCAACAUGGCGAUGUUAUUAUUGCCAAAAGGGAUAUUGUUUCAAUAGUAUUGAUAUUGUAAGGAUAGUAUAUUCUUGCACAUCCACUUUGGUGGUGUACAUAUAAAAUGUAUUGUAUAUGUAAGAGGAGUCAGUGAGAAACAGAACAUCAAGAGUAAUGUCUCUUCAAGUAACACUCUGAUUGUCCAGCAAAUACAAGCAGCUGUUGACCAUUUAACAUCAAUGACACUUAGUGGUGGACUGGUUGGGGCAGGGGACGAAAUACCUUCUGCCCCUCUCUUGAUGCUCCAUGAAAUGGCCACACCGCCCCCACCAAAUCACACACUGUUCCGUACAAUAAAACCAUUACUGCUUGUGAUUUGGUGAUUUGGUGGGGGCAGUUCAGGUGUGAGUGAGCAGGAGUGACCUUGUAGAGAACUGCCAUCAGGGUGAGUUGCUCCGUCUUCCCUGCAGCACUGGGCGGAAGUGAUCUGGAAGUGAGCUAACAUGUCACUUUCUCCCAGUGCUCUACAGUUAUCUGUAUCCCUCCAAAGAACAUAGCGCACUUUGCCUGUGAGAUCACUUUAUUGGACUCUACCAACAACAUGGCCUUGUGAUGUAGUUACAGUUAACGAGCUGGAGCCUAUGUCAGGAGUUUUCCAGGGAAAAAAACACUGCUUUGUUUUAGUGCUGUCUUGUGCGUGUGUGCAUACUUGGCAGAUCAGAACUUAUGGCCACGCCCCUCUUAACUUAUACACCAACCAUAGGUCACUGUAAAUGAGGUAUGUGAUAAAACCCAGAAGCUAUCAGUGUCCAACCCAGAGCUGUAUAGUCAAGUGAGGAUACUUAUUCAAAUUGGUUAUUUUUUUCACUCCAUGACUCAUCUAUAUUUUGUCAAUCUUUCUUUUAUUGAGGCAAGCAUUAAAUGGGGUACAGAAUAAAGAAGAGGGGAUGCACGGUAAUUGUACAGGAUGGGAACACGCUAACACAAUAUAACAUCUCCUACUCACCUAUAUUUUGGACGCUGGAGUACCCAAUUGAAUAUAUUUAUAUAUUUUGUCAUAAAUGUUUCUCUUUUUAAUUAUUUCUGGACUCAAAUAUUUCCUUGCAGAACAUGUGAAGUUGCAAGUACUCAAGCGUUUAAAUCAUCUGAAAUUAUUUUGAUGCAUAAUAUAAGGGGCACAUUCCAAUGCUUUUUAUAAACAAGUCCUUUUUGUUGUUUCUUGUCUACAAUCACGACAAAUCCCAGUUUUUCAGCUAUCAGAAUGGUCGUAUUUUUUACUUACCGCCCUUGGGAAUUUAGAAGAGGUACUGCAAAUAUUUCCUGCUGCAGUACCUCUUCCAUUCUUUAAAUACAAUAAAUCGCCAGCAUAGUCACAGAAAUGUAAGCAAACGUCAUUAAUCUUACAACUUUAUGCUUCUCUACAAGGUUUUUGUGGUAUAGGACUAUCCUCCACAUGGACCAUGGCUCCAAUGUAAUCUAAUCCAACCACACUUGUCUGUAUGAGGAAUUAUACAUGGGUAUAUUCACUGAGAAACUAGUCAAGGGCAGGCUGACAGUAAACUGAGCCCUUGGAGCGCCAUGAAUAUGUAAUGUCUGUCAUGUCAGGGCUGGACUACAUAUUCUCACAGGGUGGAAAAAAAUGUUUUUAGAUUUUAUUCUUGUGAUUGGAUGACACUGUACAGUGACAUAAACAGACAAUACAAUUAUCCCCUAAAUCUGAAUUUGAGGUCCUGUAGACUGCAACAGCAUGAUGGAAGUUUUAUUCCACAACAUUGUAUGUAUCCAUGUAUAUUUAGGCAACUAUCCAGUCCUAUCUGUGUCAAAACAUUUUGUAUAUAUAGCAUAUGAGGAUCCACUGAAGAAGAAGCGUGAAUAUCAGUGUGAGAGAACCAUUUAGCAAAAAAGCCAAAAUUGUUCUGUUCCUAAAGGCACAAAAUAACUAUGUCCACAUGUACCCUAUACAUGAUUGUGGCUUCUGGUUAAUAAAGAACAACAUCUCCUCCUAUGCCAUCUGCUUACUGUCUAGUGGCAUGAUCACCCGUGUGAAGGUCAUCAGUGUGCACAAAAGGAGAGAUCGAUAUUCCCUGGCACACUCCAAUGCAAAGCCAACUUGUUUUCCAGUGGACCCCAUACAGAUUGCAGUGCUGGCAGCUUUCCAAAUGCAACCAUUUACAAACUGCAACUGCAUACCAAAUGCGAAUAGUAUUAAUGAUCCUAUUCUCUGACAUCAUGGGCAGCGGUGUGUAUGUUAACAGGAAUCUCCUUACCUGUUCAUUCCUACAUACCAUACUGUGGGACAGGAGUAAUUCAUAAAAUAAGGGAUCAACCAGAGCCUUAAACAUCCAGGAAGGGAACAGGAUUAUGACCUCAUAUUUCUGCACCAUAUAUCAAGUACCCAGCUGCAUAGGGUUUGGAUAUGCAGAGAUCACCUGUGAGUUUCCUCUACCUAGGGAAAGGGAACUCUUUCCAUAGCAUUCAUUCCCUUAUUAGACCAGACUAGACGGCUAUGAAAACAUGUAACCUACUUCUCCAGGAAUAAAAUCAUUAUUGUUCCAUUGAUUUAAAAAAAAAAAAAAUGUUUCAUUAUUAUAAGAGAACCACCUGCUACUGCUUUAAAGAGGGAAACUGUUAUCCAUAAACAAAUAGAAAACAGUAGAGAAAAUAGUAGAUAUUACAAUUAUUAUACUUAAAGGAACACUAUAGCAUAUAUAAACAUGUAUUCCUAACGCUAUAGGGACUUGCUAGCUGUUUUGAUUACUGCCACCCAUUUUUCUUUCUCUCCAUUGGGUUUGAUUUACUUCUCACAGUGAAGCGCCAGUAGUAGCGCAAUGUUUUAUAUUGCAGGGUUAAAAUUAAAUGGCCACUGCACCCAGUAUACUUUGUUGCCUAUCUGUUUUUUAUUCUUACAUUUGCUUACAUUCAAUUUUUUUGUUUUACAGGGCAAGACCAAUUAGCAGAGCAUUGGAUCUCGGGGCAGACAUUGUUGUGACAGGAAGAUGUGUGGACAGUAGUAUUGUGUUGGGACCACUUAUACAUUCUGUAUGUAUACAUAUUUUAUUCCCAAAAUGUAUAAAACUUACAAUUUCAUAAUUCUAGAAAUAAUUCAAAAAGACCUAGUGCAUGUGGAAUGGAACAAUACUACAAACUAUUUCACGAGAAGACGAAUAUAUAUACAAUCAAAGUUAUUGUUUUGCACAGCUAUUGAAAAUAGUUUUGCAGUAUGUAGACCCUCGCUAUUUAGCGAAAAGUCUUGCAGUUGUGUUCUCUGGUGCUCCUGAUUUAGCGAAAAGUCUUGCAGUUGUGUUCUCUGGUGCUCCUGAUAAUGAUUUUGUUCUUGACUUGGUGGCAAAUCCAAUGUGAUGGCUACUUGAAACCUAUAACCCAUAGACUUUACUGGGACAAGCUAUAUUACCAUAGGCGUGCGCAGCCUAUUGCAUUAGGGUGUGCACCCUAAAGCACAAGCACACGCCGCAUAUAUAUAUAUAUGUGUGUAUAUAUAUAUAUAUAUAUAUAUAUAUACACAUACACAUAUAUACACACAUACACACACUGCUGUGUGUGUGUGUGUGUGUGCUGUGUGAGGGUGCUGUUAGUGUGAUGUGUGUGUGACGAUGCUGGUAGUGUGCUAUGUGGGUGAGGGUGUUUGUGUGUGCGUGCUUGUGAGGGUGCUGUUAAUGUACUGUGUGUGAGGGUGCUGUUUGUGUGUGUGUUUGUGCGCUUGUGAGGGUGCUGUUAAUGUACUGUGUGUGAGGGUGCUGUUUGUGUGUGAGGGUACUGGUAGUGUGCUGUGUGUGUGUUUGUUAGGGUCCUGUUUGUGUUUGUGAGGGUGCUGUUUGUGUGCUGUGUGUGAGGGUGCUGUGUGUGUUUGUGAGGGUGCUGUAUGUGUGUGGGGGUGCUGUAUGUGUGUUGGUGCUGUGUAUGUCUGUGGGUUCUGUAUGUGUGUGGGUGCUGUGUGUGUCUGUGGGUGCUGUGUGUGUCUGUGGGUGCUGUAUGUGUGUGGGUGCUGUGUAUGUCUGUUGGUGCUGUGUAUGGGUGCGUGCUGUGUAUGUCUGUGGGUGCUGUGUAUGUUUGUGGGUGCUGUAUGUCUGUGGAUGCUGAAUGUAUGUGGGUGCUGAAUGUGUNNNNNNNNNNNNNNNNNNNNNNNNNNNNNNNNNNNNNNNNNNNNNNNNNNNNNNNNNNNNNNNNNNNNNNNNNNNNNNNNNNNNNNNNNNNNNNNNNNNNAUAAAGGUAAACUGAUAUCACAUACCAUAAUCAUUGUGUAUGACAGGAAAUAUCACCAAUAUAUCAUCAGUUUAGUAAUGUUCGUUUAGAGUAUUGAUUUUUACCAUUCCAUACCUAGGUAAGUUGGUGCCAUAUGGUUAUGUAAGUUAUGCUAGGUUUUUCAGAAGGAGAAUGCAGUUGCAACUGGAGUAUGUGUUAGUGUAAAAAAACUUGCCAUUAAAGGUGUUAAGUGUAAUUAUUGCUAAAAUUAUAUUUCAAAGACCCAUCGCAAGAAAUUUAAAUGGUGUGCCACGUUAAUAUUUUGCAUAUUUUGGUAGUUGUUAUGACUGGGGGUAUGUUUUACGUAAGUCCAAGUUUGUACUCUUAAUUGAACAACUUGCAUAUAUAUGUAUUGCUGUAACAUAACUAAAUGGAACUUGGAAAUUGUAUUAAGGAACAUGUAUAUAACAAUAGAGAAAAAAGCACUAUUUUGUCAGCAGUAGGACUAUAGAAAAUAAACUACACCCUGUUCCAAAUUAUUAUGCAAAUGAUAUUUUUCUCAUUUACCUAAAUAAUUGAUGUAAAUAACAGUCAGCAUAAUUCUCAUGUUAUCAACUAUUAAGAGUACAAUUCAAAUUUUAUUGAACAAACCUCCUAAUGAUAACAGUAUUUUUUUUAAACAUAAAAAACUUACAAUGCACUGUUCCAAAUUAUUACGCACAGUAAGUUUCAAAACACUUUAUAGGUAGUGAUAUCCCGAACGGUUCGCCGAACGGUUCGCCACGAACGGUUCGCCACGGACUCAUCAUUGAGUAAACUUUGACCCUGUACCUCACAGUCAGCAGACACAUUCCAGCCAAUCAGCAGCAGACUCUCCCUCCCAGACCCUCCCACCUCCUGGACAGCUCACUAAGAAUGCAGCUUCAAAAUGGAUGCUGUCCAGGAAGUGGGAGGGUCUGGGAGGGAGGGUCUGCUGCUGAUUGGCUGGAAUGUGUCUGCUGACUGUGAGGUAAAGGGUCAAAGUUUACUCAAUGAUGAGUCCGCGGCGAACCGUUCGGGACAUCACUAUUUAUAGGUUCUAAAGAACUGAAAAUUGUCAUUUGUUGUGUUUGCAGCAUAUUUAAUGAAAUCAAAAGCUAUUUCAAUCAAACUUAUAACAACAUUUUAACUUUUUAAACAUUUUAACAGGUCACGUUACAGUUUAACAUAGGACCCCUUAUUUGAUAGCAGCUUCACAAGUCUUGCAUCCAUUGAAUUUGUGAGUUUUUGGACAGUUUCUGCUUAAAUUUGUUUGCAAGAUGUCAGAAUAGCCUCCCAGAGCUGCUGUUUGGAUGUAAACUGCCUCCCACCCUCAUAGAUCUUUUGCUUGAGGAUGCUCCAAAGGUUCUCAAUAGGAUUGAGGUCAGGGGAGGAUGGAGGCCACACCAUGACUUUCUCUCCUUUUAUCCCCAUAGCAGCCAUUGAUGCAGAAGUAUUCUUUGCAGCAUGAGAUGGUGCUUUGUCAUGCAUGAAGAUGAUUUUAUUACGGAAAGCAUAGUUCUUCCUUCUGUACCAGGGAAGAAAGUGGUCAGUCAGAAACUCUACAUACUUUGCAGAGGUCAUCUUUAUACCUUCGGGCACCCUAAAGGGGCCGACCAGCUCUCUUCCCAUGAUUCCGGCUCAAAACAUGACUCCACCACCGCCUUGCUGACGUUGCAGCCUUGUUGGAACAGGGCGGCCGUCCACCAACCAUCCACUACUCCAUCCAUCUGGACCACCCAGGGUUGCACGGCACUCAUCAGUGAACAGGACUGUUUGAAAAUUAGUCUUCAUGUAUUUUUCUGCCCAAUGCAGCCGUUUCUGCUUGUUAGCAUUGGUUAGUGGUGGCACAGUUCGAAGACUCUAAAGGACUCUACACCUUGAUGUCCGUGGAACUCCAGAGGCACCAGCAGCUUCAAAUAUGUUUUCUGCUGUGUAAUGGUAUUUUAGCAGCUGAUCCAAUGCAUGGAUCUGGCAGAAAUCUUCCUCAAUGUGCCUUUAAUAGUGCGAUGAUCACGCUUAAGUUUUCGUGAAAUAUCUAAUGUUUUCAUACCUCGUCCAAGGCAUUGAACUAUUUCACUCUUUUCGGCAGCAGAGAGAUCCUUUUUCUUCCCUAUAUUGCAUGAAAAUGGUGCUCUGCUUAAUAAUGUUUUUCCUUAAAUUGGGCUCACCUGGCAAUCUAAUUAUCACAGGUGUCCGAGAUUGUUUUCAGUGAUCAAAAGAGCCCUGAGACACAAUGCCAUCCAUGAGUUAAACUGAAAAACAAAAUAUUUCAUCUUUGUGACACUUAAAUAGAAUUUGCAUAAUAAUUUGGAACCGUGUGUAGGUGUAUUUGAAGCUCCAGAGCAUUAGAUAAUGUCAGAAAAGAUAAUUAGAAAGAAAGAUGUAGUGGCAUGAGACAGUAAAUUGACAGCAGCACAAAGUAGGUACAGGCUAUGUCUUAAUUACACCAUGCAGGGCAGAAAUUACUUUCUUCUUUUUUUCUCUUAGUUUGGAUGGAAGAGAAAUGAGUUUGACUUGCUUGCUGCUGGCAG